Long non-coding RNA from Alligator mississippiensis (American alligator), 3868 nucleotides. RefSeq lists it as uncharacterized. The record is from RefSeq and is a predicted model, not a curated record. The transcript is spliced from 3 exons. NCBI's taxonomy places the organism in Eukaryota, Metazoa, Chordata, Crocodylia, Alligatoridae.
UCCAUGACUGUGUGUUGCUAAGUGUAUCCAGUGAAUUAUGUGAACAUUAACCAUUUGGUUCUGGAAGCAGCAACUGCCCUGUGGAAAUAUCUGACCCACAUCUGCAGCAAGCAAGAUGCACCUCUGGAAUUUGCACCUCAAGACCAGGAGCAGCAUUAUGUAUUUGUAACCUUACCAGGCAGCAGGAGCAGCUUUCCCUUCAUUUGCAUUCCUUUGCAAAGAAGGACAGCCCACAGGGCAAUGAUAAAGCAUGGAGACAACAGAAGGCAAAGAGCCUGCCAAUGGUUCCUGGGGCUCUUCUGAAUGAUUUCCAGGACACGGGAAUCAAUUUCUCAACCUCGAAGUUACUAACCCAUAAUCCCACCUGACUGAAGGCCCAGAGCAGCAUACACAGAACAAUUCUUCCUUCUCUAUAAUUUUUUUCCAUAUGUGUAAACUCCAGAAUUCAUGGUGAAUAUGGGGUUGGCCUAAUAAUUUACCAAAGGCCUAACUGCAUUCUCAGGGUGGCUGCUCUACUGGUGCCAUGAACAUGGAUGAGGAGAAUGCAAGGGGAAGCAGGAAACAGUAGAAGUCUCCUUUUCACAGGAUGUGGAACAGAAAAAAAGUUUAUCAUCACUACAUAGCUUCGAGCUUCCAGAUAUGGUCUUGUGCUUGUAACCCCAUUCAGAGGGCAGCCAAUGAAUGGUGGAUCUAUAUCACUGUGACACAGCCUCACCGUUGUCAUUCCCCGGCCCUGUUAUCAACCUGUGCUACACAGAAACAGCUGAAGGCUAUCUAACCAGCAGGAAGCUGAAAAAUCACCCUGCCAGUGCCACCUUACACUGAAUGUAUGGCCAAUAGAAAGGGAGCUGUCCUGAGCCCUUGUUCUGAGCAAUGAAACGAAUAAAUCAAUUCACUUUGUGAAAGUGGAAACUUCAGGGUUGAUGCAUGGCACUCAGGUGGUAUUAAACUCUGGUUUGGAAAAUGGGAUGUUCUUCAGCAAAGACAAAUUUGAUCUUUUCAGGUGAUGGCGCAGCUGUGACCUAUGGUGGUUUCUGAGAAAAGGAACAGGUAAUUUUAAAUGGAAGCACCUGCCACUUGCAAGUUCUGUAGCACCUCCAGAAGCAGCAGUGACUGCUUUCAAAUGAAUAAAUUACCAGGAUGUUAGGCUAAAAUAGUAAGUUACAACAGAUCUUAAUGGGUCCCAUUCAGAAGGAAUCUCAUCUCUCCCUCCCCUCCUCUCCCCCCCAUUUUUAACUGAUCAUUGCAACCAAACUCUUCAUCUGUUGGAUCCUCACCCAGAACUCAGACCCUUCACACCACACAUUUGUUUCCUGUCCCAGUAAGAAUAUACUUGCUAGUUUGAGAGUGUGGAAACAUGAGACAUUUCUGUCUUAUUUUUGUGAACAAAUUUUAUGAACUGCCUGGUAUCCUGUCCUGUGAAAAGUGCUGCCACUGGAUUUUUUUACACAGCAGGGGAUCCCCAGCUAAGAUGCAGCACCAUUAUGGCUUCUCAGCCACCCCUCAUCCUGGCUGGCCUCUAUCACCCUCUUCCCCAGGGGAGGCAUGGGUGAAAGGAAGUGGUAUGGCUACAACACUGUCAAAAGCUGGUGAUUCCCAGUUGUCAGAAGGCCUCUGAGGGGUCAUUACAGUAGGCAAAACUUAGAGCAGCCAUGAAGAUACUCAGAGUUGCUCUUCAGGUCUCACUUAGAAUGGGGUCAUAAAACUAUAAAAUGACAGAGGUAGAAGAGACCUCAAGGAUCAUCUGGUCCGACCCCCUGCAUGAAUACAGGAAUGCUAUUCUUAAACUAACAGAUCCUCAUAGGUCAUCAUAUGGUCCCAAUCCCAAAUGCAGUCCCCAGUCCAUACGGUCCCAAUCCCAGGCCUCAAAAGGUCAGUCCUAAGGAUCUGGCUUUCGAGUAUAUAUUGAACAACAUUUUAAACAUUAGAACAAAGUUUCAUUUUCUGAUACUACUGGUCUGACUGAAAAUAGCCAUGCCACCCUGUGGAUAUUUAAAUGUGUGUUGUUCUUACUACUGCAUUUUGGUUACUGUGAAGAGGCUGGUGGUGCCUCUUCAGGAGGAAAAAGGUGAUCCUGGCCGGGGUUUACCGGAGAGUUCAGUGACAGCGACGCUGAGGAGGGAACUCCCGACAUGUCUGAGACUGAAUUUACCAGAGCGUCAGGUGCAUCGUAUUUGCUCCUCCUGGUGCUCUGGGGCUACUUCCAGCAGGGAGUUUUCCCCAGGGAAGGAGAGUGGGGAGGAGAGACAACAGUGGUGCGACAGGAGCUCUGGGUGGGAGCGAAGAGGCUAUUCCCCAGGAACGGAGCUUGACACCGGGAUGGUCUGUGAGCUCGGAGGAGCUCUGGGAGUGCUGCUGCCUGUCAGUCACAGCAGCAGUGAGAGUUAAAAGCCUGAAGCUUGUGGACUGAGGAGGGAAACCUGCAUAUACAGGAAAGUUUCUUUCUUCUUUUGAGUUUUACCAGCAAUGUGGAUCAGGAGACUAUGUAGCCCCACGGGGGCAUUUUCUUAUAUUAAUGAGGACAAUUAAUGGACCCCGGGAGUGAAGCCUAUCCAGCUGAAGAGGGAUUGUGGCUUAAAGGACCCACACUUGUGGGUUGUCAGCAGCAGAAGCAUUGAGUUUGGUUUUUUGUGUUUCAUUCUCUGCUUACUAAAAAAAAGGAGGGAUUUCAUAGUUUCAUAGUAGCCAGGGUCAGGAGGGACCUGAACAAAUCAUCUAGCCUGACCCCCUGCCACAGGCAGGAAUGAAUGCUGGGUUCACGAGACCCCAGACAGGUGAUCAUCCAACCUGCUCUUGAAUUUGCCCAAGGUAGGGGCGAGGACCACUUCCCUGGGAAGUUGAUUCCAGAUUUUGGCCACCCUAACUGUAAAAUAUUGUGUCCUGAUCUCUAACCUAAACCUAUUCUCCAUCAGUUUAUGACCAUUGUUCCUCGUCACCCCAGGUGGUGCUGGGGAGAAAAGGGCUCUUCCUAUUUGCUGAUGAUCUCCCCUGAUGAGUUUGUAGGCAGCCACCAGGUCCCCCCUCAGCCUCCUCUUGCCGAGCAGCAGUUCUUUUUUUUCCUUUAUCCGGCCGAGUGAAGGAAAUCCUACAGGGCGACUGGACCCUGGGUGUCCAGCCUUGGAAAAGAAAGGAAUAAAAGACAAGAAGAUGGAUGUUUUGAUUUAUCAGACCAGGCAAACAAGUCCAGGUCUGAGUUCUGGACAGUUUAAAGACUUUUUCCCUAUGCAAGAAGUAACUAUCCAGAAGAAGAAUGAUAACUGGCCUUGAGUUAGAGAAAGUGGCCAGGCCAACCACAUGCAUACAUUCUGGAUUAUAGCUGAUACCAUGAUAACAACUGGGAGGUGUAUGGCUGGGGUGAAAGGGGAGGUUGGAGCCCCACUUGGAGGGCGCUUUGUGCCAUAACCAGACUCUUGAAGACAACAUCACCUCCCAAAAGAACAAUCCAUCAAGUUGUGGCAGGAAAGAAUUGGAGUCUGGCUAGCUGGUCAAGGCAUUCCUGGCAACCACGGACAGGUGAAUGUCAUCCAGAUGUCACAGGCUAUGCCCUUACAUGGUGAUCCCCAACAGUCACACAAUGGCAAUACUCUCCACUAUGAAAUGUAUCCCGAAGCGAAUAUAAAAUUACUUUUAUGGCUGAGAUUCUGUCUACUUGGAUUUUGCAACUUUCUGAAAAAUGACUAUAGAGUUUCAUAACUUAGGCAGGUGAUACUCGUUUAAACAUUUGAUGCAACUAAGAAGCAUUAACUCAGUGAUAUACUGCAACAGGACAAGAGGUUUACACAGCGAAUGUUGUAGCAGAAUAAAAGUAAGUUUUUUUUUAAAAAACUAUUUGGAUGAUAUCUGUGUGUGUAUGUGCUGUCUGGGCAAC